RNAcentral lists this ribosomal RNA (497 nucleotides) under uncultured bacterium. RNAcentral describes it as "partial 16S ribosomal RNA". It matches the Rfam family "Bacterial small subunit ribosomal RNA", at positions 28 to 507 of the family's 1533-position model. The record is from RNAcentral.
GAUGAACGCUGGCGGCGUGCCUAAUACAUGCAAGUCGAGCGAACAGACGAGGAGCUUGCUCCUCUGACGUUAGCGGCGGACGGGUGAGUAACACGUGGAUAACCUACCUAUAAGACUGGGAUAACUUCGGGAAACCGGAGCUAAUACCGGAUAAUAUAUUGAACCGCAUGGUUCAAUAGUGAAAGACGGUUUUGCUGUCACUUAUAGAUGGAUCCGCGCCGCAUUAGCUAGUUGGUAAGGUAACGGCUUACCAAGGCAACGAUGCGUAGCCGACCUGAGAGGGUGAUCAGCCACACUGGAACUGAGACACGGUCCAGACUCCUACGGGAGGCAGCAGUAGGGAAUCUUCCGCAAUGGGCGAAAGCCUGACGGAGCAACGCCGCGUGAGUGAUGAAGGUCUUCGGAUCGUAAAACUCUGUUAUUAGGGAAGAACAAAUGUGUAAGUAACUAUGCACGUCUUGACGGUACCUAAUCAGAAAGCCAUGGCUAACUACGUG